AACGCGAAGAACCUUACCUGGGCUCGAAAUAUAGAGGACGACAACAGAGAUGUUGUCUCUCGAAAGGGCCUUUAUAUAGGUGCUGCAUGGCUGUCGUCAGCUCGUGCCGUGAGGUGUUUGGUUAAGUCCAGCAACGAGCGCAACCCUUAUCGUUAGUUGCCAACACGUAAAGGUGGGAACUCUAACGAGACUGCCUGGGUUAACCAGGAGGAAGGUGAGGAUGACGUCAAGUCCGCAUGGCCUUUAUGUCCAGGGCUACACACGUGCUACAAUGGUCGGUACAGAAGGCAGCAGAACCGCAAGGCGAAGCAAAUCCCGAAAAACCGAUCUCAGUUCAGAUUGUAGUCUGCAACUCGGCUACAUGAAGUUGGAAUUGCUAGUAAUGGCGUGUCAGCAACAACGCCGUGAAUACGUUCCCGGGCCUUGUACACACCGAUACUC
RNAcentral lists this ribosomal RNA (441 nucleotides) under uncultured bacterium. Its description in RNAcentral is "bacterial SSU rRNA". It matches the Rfam family "Bacterial small subunit ribosomal RNA", at positions 958 to 1398 of the family's 1533-position model. The record is from RNAcentral.